GAUGAACGCUGGCGGCGUGCCUAAUACAUGCAAGUCGAGCGAACGGACGAGAAGCUUGCUUCUCUGAUGUUAGCGGCGGACGGGUGAGUAACACGUGGAUAACCUACCUAUAAGACUGGGAUAACUUCGGGAAACCGUAGCUAAUACCGGAUAAUAUUUUGAACCAUAUGGUUCAAAAGUGAAAGACGGUCUUGCUGUCACUUAUAGAUGGAUCCGCGCUGCAUUAGCUAGUUGGUAAGGUAACGGCUUACCAAGGCAACGAUGCAUAGCCGACCUGAGAGGGUGAUCGGCCACACUGGAACUGAGACACGGUCCAGACUCCUACGGGAGGCAGCAGUAGGGAAUCUUCCGCAAUGGGCGAAAGCCUGACGGAGCAACGCCGCGUGAGUGAUGAAGGUCUUCGGAUCGUAAAACUCUGUUAUUAGGGAAGAACAUAUGUGUAAGUAACUGUGCACAUCUUGACGGUACCUAAUCAGAAAGCCACGGCUAACUACGUG
This 497-nucleotide ribosomal RNA is filed under the name uncultured bacterium. RNAcentral describes it as "partial 16S ribosomal RNA". It matches the Rfam family "Bacterial small subunit ribosomal RNA", at positions 28 to 507 of the family's 1533-position model. The record is from RNAcentral.